RNAcentral lists this long non-coding RNA (5787 nucleotides) under Sus scrofa (pig). RNAcentral's name for it is "lncRNA (ENSSSCG00055024178.1)". Lineage: Eukaryota; Metazoa; Chordata; Mammalia; Artiodactyla; Suidae. The record is from RNAcentral.
ACAGUAUGUGUACUGUAGGGAUAGUAUGCUUCAACACAUUUAACUCUAUAGUUGAAGCUAUAUAUAUAUAUAUAUAUCUGUCUUUAUUAUAUAUACAGAUAUAUAAUAAAGUUAAAAUGCUAUCUGGAUUUUCUUUCUUUCUGGUCUGAGAGACUCUUCUGUUAGGGGCUCUGAAAUUAAUAAAUGCUUCCUGCCAGUUUGCUGCUUUUUCCAUUUAUAGAACAAUGCCAUUGCUUACACCCCCCUGGCUCUGUGUGAAGAAACUAUAAUGAGGGAGGGAUGUUUUCGUUUAGUAAACAAAGCACGAAAAACAGCAUGGCAACUACAUCUCUUGGAAUCACCUCUGCAUUUAAAGACCUACCCAAUGAGCUUCCACAGAAAACUUCUAAUCAAGGAAGAACACCCUCCAACCUUAGAAAGCCCCAGGCGAGUUUUUCACUGGCAUCAUUCCUAGAAGGUCCAUUUUUACUUUGCUCCAACAAAUGCCUCUCCUCUCAGGAGGUCCUGCCUCCUCUUCUCCUCUGUGUGUGUUCUCCUUCCCCUUGGUUGUAGACAGUUUGGCACAGCCUCGCCCUGCCCCCACCUCCUCCAUCCAUUCACUUUAGAAUCUCAACACUUAAAAACAAACAAGAGCCACUUCCUCUAGAAAAGACUCUGAGUUUUAAUCCCUUCCAGAUGGAAGAAACUGACAUCCGAUGUCAACUAGAGUCACUGGAUUCAAAGAGGCUGGGGACGGUAUUCAAUUUCUACAGGUUCCCUCGAGUUUUAAUUUUUAACACCAUUUGUGGGAAAGUGAAGAGCCUACACUUUUGGCCAGGAUCACUCUUUAGCAACUGAAUGGGUAAAGAAUGCCAAUUAGCCCAUCUCAAAUUCGCUUUCCUUCCCUGUAAAACUGAUGGUGAAAAUCUCUCCCUUUUAGAGGUAUAGGAAGAGUUCAGUAAUCUGUGGAAAAUACUUAAGAUGAUGCCUAGUACACAGAAGUCCUCGGUAAACAAUGGCUAUAAUUAUUAUUCUCAUCUUUGAAUGUUUAUGAUCAGAACCACAAUGAGUAAAUACGAACUGAGUAAUCUUAGAAUGAGAAACAUCUACUACUGGUUUCAAUCCAACUGAACAUUCUAAGGUUAGGAAAGAAAGGGCUGCCCAAUGACCUCUUUCCUAAGUAAGGAUGACCAUGCACUCAUUUAUCUAUUCAUCUUUCCAUGAAACAUGUAUUUGGUACAUGCUUUGUGCUGGACAUUGAGGCGCCUAAGUUAUGUGUCACCUCAAGCUGAAGAGACUAACAUAUCCAGCACAAUCGCCUUGAUAUGAAAUGGCUGCUAUGGUUGCUGGGCUUAGAACUCAGGCUGAUACAGGAGCAGAAAGGGAGCCAGAGAAAUUCAUUAUAAUCCACCCAUUCUCUAUACUCAUACAACAGUGAGAGUACCCUGUGCAAUUCUAACCAUCACAUUAUCCACAGUACGUGCUCAGAAAAAGAAAGAAAGAGCAAGUGAAUUUUCCACCGAUAGAUGAUGGGCAAUUCUGCACGUCCACCCAAAGAGAGAGCAGGUAGCUCAUUUCAGUUCCCAGGCGGGUCUCCCAGGCUCUAUCAUGAUCAGGGUGCCAGCAGAAAAUUACAAAAUGGUAUAGAUGGGCUAAUAAAGAGGUAGUUUAGCUUAAAAGAAAGUUAUGGGCAGGGUUAAAGGAAACUAAAAGAGAGAGUGAAGGUUCCAGACUAGCAGACGAUGGUGACCAUUAGCAACUCCACAUCUCAGGAUUACGUAGAGAGGGCAGUUUCCAGAGAUUAAAGGGGACAGGUGUCAAGGAAAGGGCUGCCUGAUGAGCUGUGACCAAAAUAGCAGGGAGGGAACAGAGAAAUAAGUACUGUGACCUCACUCUCCUCCCUUCUAACUGCUUCCUUCUAGGGCCGCCCAUUGAACCAGCCAAUGGCCAUGGAGCCUGUGACACAGGCCAUGUAAGUCAGCCUCCUGGGGCACGUGACAGGCUGGGAAUGGAUGGAGAAUGAAUCUGGAGGACAAACAGAAAUGUCCUGCGUACAGGCUGGGUAUCUCACCAUGCAGAAUAUAAUUCUUUACAUAUAAACACGUGUUUUUUUUUUUUUUAAUGCAACUGGAGUCACCCAAGGAUAUUCUGGACUUUAUGCGUUUUUCCUUACAUAUUAGCAACACAACACCAACCGUAUGAGAUGACACUUGACUGAACUUUAUCUCAUUUAGUCCUCACAGCAAGUUGAGUGAGUUAUGCCUGUUCUUCCAAUUUUACAGAUGAAAAGCAGACUCAGAAAAGUUGAAUGUCUCACUAAGCGGCAGGGGAAGAACUCAUGCUUCUCCCACCCGACAACUCUUAAAUGGUUUUUCCAUUCUACCAAGUUGAAAAGUUACUACAGAGAUUGAUUGGCAAAAGUCAAUGUUAGAGAGACUUGGUUUGCAGCCCUGCAAUUAUCAAAGAUGGGAAAACUUGGAAGAAAUACCCGGCACUGAAUCUCCAGCAAUGAAUCAAGUCUACUGUUGAAGCAACAACAUGUGCCUACCUUUAAGUCAUUUCUUUUUCUUUUUUUCCCCCAUUUCGUGGCCACCCUUGCAGCAUGUGGAUGUUCCUGGGCCAAGGACUGAAUCCGAGCCACAGCUUCAGCAAUGCCAGAUCCUUAAGCCACUGUGGCAGGCUGGGGAUUGAACCUGAGUCUCCUCUGCAACCCGAGCUGCUGCAGUAGGAUCCUUAACCCACUUCGCCCGCAGCAGGAACUCCUCAAGUCAUUUCUGAAUAAUCAACCAAGGCUAGAAAUCUGUAGAUGACAAUCUAGGGCUGAUGACUUCUGACAAGCACAGCUGGCCUGCCACCCGUGCUGCAUGUUAACGAAGCUCUAAUAUCAUCGCCACAUACUGUGUAGGAGGGGAAGUGUGGCAUUGCCGAGAAGCAGGAAAGAAGAAUGUGAUUUCCAAAAUCAGACCCAAGGACUUGGUAGAAACCAGGAGAUGAACACUUUUUUCAUGCUCACUAAAAGUCUAUCAAAAACCUAUGCAUAUUGUUCAUGCACCAUUAUUUAGUGACAUUCAUUACUUGCUACAGCCUUGGAUUGAAGCUGCAGGCUGAAAAAUAGUUACAUGUGGGCUCAUGCGCUCUGGAGCUGGAAACCCGGGCUCAGGCCCCACCACGAUUUCUGGCUAUGUGAGUGAGAAUAAACAAAUUAGUUUACCAAUCUAGCCUCAAUUUCCUUACCUGCGAAGGUGAGAAUAACAGGUUAUUUCAUUAGUACAGAACGAGGCUUUAAUAAGAAAACACAUUCAGAGUGUCCGGUAUAUAACAAGCAUCAACAGUGUCCUGUGUGUGCUCCUUUCAUCAUUAUCAUCAGCAUCUUCAAGCCUUUGACACCAUCUCUUCAACUCCUCUCACCAUCUUUUUAAGAAUAUUUGCAUAGGCGUUCCUGUCGUGGCUCGGCAGCUAAUGAACCCAACGAGUAUCCAUGAGGAUGCGGGUUCAAUCCCUGGUUUUCAAGGCCACGAUGGGGACUCCCAACUACUCAUUUUUUAAUGAUAUAUUUUUUUAAGUAUCCAAAACUUACAAAGUCAUAGUAUAUGUUGAGAUGCAUGGGAAACAUGGCCAGUGAAACAAAGGAAAUACAUUAAAAAUAGGUUAAAAAAUAGGUAAUAAACAAAACAGAUCAACUAGGUAAACUGAACUAAAAAAUUUCAAAUGCCCCAAAGUUUGUUCCACGUCUGUUCUAGCAACAAAAAGUAGGGGCCAAGAUUUGCAAGGCAGCAUUUAGGUCAUGCAAGGUUAAGUACUUAUUAAAUUACCUCUCCUAGUGCUAACUUUACAAGCAGUUUGAAAACAUGCAUUGACUUGGAAUUGAGACACUGAACACUAGUUGAGUAGAAAGCCAACUGCACACAGAAAAGUACAGCAAUAUUGAUCAGCUUGUCCAGGGAUCAAAAAAUUUAUUCAUCCUUUCCAGCAAAUAUUUACAAUUUACAAUUGGCCAGGCUCCUGGGAAACCAUAAGAAAGACAAAGAAAGAUAAAGCAGUUCCUCCCUUUAGGUUUUUCAGUUUAACGCCAUAAACAUACAAAAUCUGAAUACAGCUCUUUCAUAAGGCAAACACAGUAGCAGUAUCUAGCUCAGUCCUAGGGGAUAUGAAGGAUUCUCUGAAAAGGCUAAAUUGAUCUGAAGCCAGGCAGAGUCAAAGUGAGCAAGAGAAAGGGCUGAGCGUGGCAGGAAGAGACUUCUAGACAGAGGGAGCGGCAUAUGCAAAAAGCACAUCGGAUCACCACCUUACCACUCCCUACUCUCCCAUGGCCUCGCAUCACAACUAAGAUAAAAAUUUCAAUAUCAUGGCAGUAAAGGCCCUAUAUGAUUUGAUCCCCAUUCAUCUCCUACUACUCCCCCUUUACUUCCUGCCCUCUGGACACUCUGGCCUCUUUACUGUCCUAAAAUAUACCCAGCACAUUCCUACCUCAAGCCUUUAUCCUUGCUUGUGGCCUCUGCCUGGGAUGCUGUUCCAGCAGAUACACAAGUCUCCUUUAUUCAAAUGCUACCUCUUCAGAGACAUCUCCCCUGUACUCACCUCUAAAACAGCUUGCCACCUUCAAUAAGUCUAUUUUUCUUUCCAUCAGUGAAAAAUCACCUGUACCAAACAUAGUCCUCUUCACAUGUUAUCCCUUUAAUGUCUGCCUCUUCAAUUAGAACGCGAGCCCUAUGAGGGCAGAGGCUUUCUCUGCCUUUGGUUCAAGGCACACUUCCAGUGCCUAUAAUUGUGCCUGGCAAGUGGUGAGGGCUCAGUAAGUAUUUUUGGAUAAUUAAUAAAUUAAUAAAUGUCCUGAAGGCAAAGAGGAGACUUGGAAGAUCCAGAGACACGCAGUUUAGCAUGAAGAGUGCACAGGAUGUAGGGGGAGAAGCAACAGAAGGUGGGGCUGGAGUAAGUGUUUGCUAGCAAGUCUGACCAACUUUCUUCAACUUUUCUUAUCAUAGCCAUCCCAUCAGUGAGAACAGUUCUCCAUCAGACAUUUCAAUUAUUGCUAAUCCCUGUCCCAGAACAUGGUUACUCAGAUCCCAAGAGAUCAUCUGUAGCUAGAGAGGAGUGUUACAGGAUCCCCUGGCUUCUUUCCAUGGGAAUGACAUGUAUGUGGAAGUUCUCAGGCCAUGGAUCGAACCUGUGCCACAGCAGUGACCUGAGCCAUUGCAGUGACAACAUCAGAUCGUUACUCCGUUGUGCAGGAGAACUCCCUUUUUUUGACAACACAGAAUGUUAUAGUCCGAAGCGACUGUUAGCGUAAUCUAAAUACUUAACACUUGCUAGAAUUUUCCAAAAGGAACUGAAGAAGUAAAAGAAAGGAGCAACAAAACAUAUGCACACACUUAAGCAUACAAAUGAAGUGUUGAUAGAUCCCUUCCCUUCAAAUUCAUGGGAGUCACGGAGAUGAAGGAUUCUCUAUAUUUUGAGACAGAAAGUAAGUUUGAUCAGAGAACUAGGAGAACUAGUACAUAUCAGACAUUAGGUGGUUGGACAAUACCAGCUCCAGAAACAGAAGUGAACAGAAUUGGGACAGAGGUGGAACACAGGAGAGACGGAAUGGAGAGAGGUUGUCAACAUCAUUUAAUAUAUUUUUAAAAAUGGCUGUCCCACCUCCGGCCUGACAACAUACCAGGGUGACUGAACUAAAUAUUUAAGUACUUGAUACAAUUUAUUCUUUUUAAUUUUCUGUUUUUCUUUUUAAGGCUGCACCUUGCUAGACCACUCUCUUUCUCUUUCUUUUUUUCUCUUUAGGGCCACACCUGUGCAAUAUGGAAGUUCCCA